UCGCAGAUCAGACUGCUGCGGUGAAUGCGUUCCCGGGUCUUGUACACACCGCCCGUCACACCACGGGAGUUGGAGACGCCCGAAGCCGAUUAUCUAACCUUUUGGAAGAAGUCGUCGAAGGUGGAAUUAAUAACUGGGGUGAAGUCGUAACAAGGUAGCCGUAUCGGAAGGUGCGGCUGGAUCACCUCCUUUCUAAGGA
RNAcentral lists this ribosomal RNA (199 nucleotides) under Clostridioides difficile. RNAcentral describes it as "partial 16S ribosomal RNA". It matches the Rfam family "Bacterial small subunit ribosomal RNA", at positions 1342 to 1533 of the family's 1533-position model. The record is from RNAcentral. Lineage: Bacteria; Bacillati; Bacillota; Clostridia; Peptostreptococcales; Peptostreptococcaceae.